CACCGCCCGUCGCUACUACCGAUUGAAUGAUUUAGUAAGGUCUUCCGACUGGCUCUCGAAGCGGCAUUCUGGUCGCGUCGGCGUGCCGGAAAGAUGACCAAACUUGAUCAUUUAGAGGAAAUAAAGUCGUAGCAAGGUUUCCGUAGGUGAACCUGCGAAGG
Molecule: non-coding RNA, 161 nt
Filed under: Stegodyphus mimosarum
Lineage: Eukaryota; Metazoa; Arthropoda; Arachnida; Araneae; Eresidae
Description: eukaryotic small subunit ribosomal RNA
Rfam family: Eukaryotic small subunit ribosomal RNA
Source: Rfam by way of RNAcentral